AAAGACAUUACUUGCAGAUUUCAAUGUCCCAGAGAAAGAUGGGUCUCCAAAUCUUUUUGUCAUCUGGCUUGGCAGAAUGAAUUGCAAGAGACCUUGGUUCCUGGCUCCUAAAAGGAUCUUCACUCUAUCUGGCCAGAUGGCAAGACUAUCACCACAACUCCAGAAUUUGGGUAGAGUUUGCCAGAGAAUGAAGGUGCAUAGAUGUCUCCAGGCCCAAUUCCCUUGCUGACAGUCACAUCCCCUCCAAAUCUAUGGAAAUCCAAUCAUGCAGAAUACAUGUGGAGAGGCUUUCACGGGGCCAACGGAGUGGGGAAGGGAUGGGAAGAGAAGCAUUAUAUCAUUAAGUUUCAGUUCUCCUCUCUCAAACAUAUUUUUGUGUACUUGAGCAGGUUUUGCCCUUCAAUUCUCUGACCCUGUGUUUUGGGCAAUAUUAAAUGAGUUGAGGAGGGAUAAAUCAUUUUUUUAAAAUAUAGUAUUUCAACUUACAUUAGCUAACUCCACAAGCCAUACAUUACACUGGGAAUUAUCCACGUUCACCCAUGCAUCUGGUCAUUUUAGAUACCAUGCUGAUUCACGUGGACUACAUUUAUUGCAAUUAAAUGGUGAGACACAGUUAUUAUAUUUGAAUGAAUAAUCAGGGAAAAGAUAGUAAAAGAGAAAAGAAAAAUCUGCAAGUAGUACUUGGGAGACUCUAUAAUCAUUUUCAGUGUUGUAACAAUCCAUCAGACAGUGCACAAUUAAAGCAGGCAUCUAUGAUUCUCAGUGGAGCUUUUUUCAUUUUGCCCUACAUUCUAUUUCACGUAUGAAGCAACCCAUAAUUAAAUAGUGCUUUGUGUUAAAAUGUUUCCUAAUUAUCAGUGGGUAAAAUCCAUUAAAAGAAAUCAGUUCUAGCUGGAAUGUUACAUCAUUGCGAAAGGAAAAGAAACCUGGUCAGACUGCAUUUUGUUAUUUACACACAAAAGAAAGGCCUCUUUAGUAUUCAGAAUAAUUUGAUAGUUAACCGGGAAACAAUUAUUUUGGAUACUGUGGUUAAAAAAUAUGCAGUCACACUACAUUUUAGUGACUUUUUUCUUGGUUAGAUCCAUAGUAAUGGUAUUUAAAUCUAGCGAUGUCUAGUACAGUACCACUUUAAUUUCUGCUUGUGGAUACAAUUGAUACUGCACAUAUAAUAUUUAUUACUGUAUUUAGGAAAACAGCCUAAAUUCACUUACCGCUUGAUUUAAAAAUUCUGUUUCUUACUGACACAGAAAAAUUGCAUUUUGUGUUUGUGAAUUCUUAUUCCCAAAUAUUGGUAUUUUAUAGAAGCUGAAGAAACAGAUCUCCAACAACAUAGCUAAUGCUCAAAUUUGAGGACAUACAUGAUUAGAUUCUUACAGCUAUCUUGUUUUUCCUCAUCUUUGUAAAGAUUCAAAGGCUUAGCAAUAACAUGGUAUAGAUACUAUUUUGCUCCCAAACUAGCUGGAAAAUUUGAAAACUGGAUUAAAAUCACAGCUGACAAUUUGACUGAAAACUCUUCUGAGAGAGUUACAAUUUGAUCAUUCACUUCCAAAGUCAAAUUUUUCUGCCCUGGCACUUCAAAAUGCUUGGGGCUAUGCUGGUAGUUUGGUCGUAUUGCAAGGGUCUGAGUGCCAGACUUUGGCUUACUCCCGCGCUUCCUGGUUUGGCAGGGGCUGAAAUACUAUCGAGGCAACAAGCUCAGAUGCUGGGAGUAAGGAGAGCUUUGCAAUGACUGCUUCCAGUAUGAGAGACAGAAAUGUUAAGGAUGGAUUUUGAAGACAGCUCCAGCCAGCCUUUCUUGGCAGGACAGCACUGAGCUUUGAGGACUGGGAGCAUAAAGGAAAAACGGGAGGAGAUCAUCAGCGUUACAUGCUGCAAAAAAAGUUUGUUUCUAAACUCUCAUUUGAAAGCCUCUCUUUGUGCAGCACAGUGUCUCAAUAUGCAAUAGUUAUGUUAUUUACAAUGAGGUGCAGUGGCUGAGUGGUCAAGGUGCUUGAUUACAAUCCUGGAGAUUGUGGGUUCAAACUCACACUGAAAGACUACCUCAAGUUCACCCAGCUACAAAAUGGAUACCUGAUCCACAGACUUAGAGAGAUAAGGUGGGUGAGAUAAUAUCUUUUAUUGGACAACUUCUAACCAUAGGGUUAAGGAAGUCAAAGACGGUUGGAUGCAAGGCUAGUCAGAUAACUCCCUUGUGUACUGUUAGCUAUGGAAACAGAUACAGACAUGCAUUAAACCAUGUCAGCGUGAUGAGCCAUCUGUGGCUUGGGGCAGACCUUUUUAAUGUUCUCUACUACACUGAAACUCAUGUUUUCUGCACUCUGCAGGCAGCUGUCUUUUUAAUCUGUACAAGAAACUUGGAAACUUUCAUUGUAUUGCUGAGAUGAGCAGAACUGAAACACUCAGGUCCCUCCAACAGAAGACUGAAAGAUCUACAGAUUGGUAUUGUACUGGGAGUGGUGCUGCUGCCAACAGACUGACCAUACUGU
This is a long non-coding RNA of Malaclemys terrapin pileata, 2486 nucleotides long. RefSeq lists it as uncharacterized. Lineage: Eukaryota; Metazoa; Chordata; Testudines; Emydidae. The transcript is spliced from 4 exons. The record is from RefSeq and is a predicted model, not a curated record.